RNAcentral lists this ribosomal RNA (323 nucleotides) under uncultured Bacillota bacterium. RNAcentral describes it as "bacterial SSU rRNA". It matches the Rfam family "Bacterial small subunit ribosomal RNA", at positions 28 to 351 of the family's 1533-position model. The record is from RNAcentral. Lineage: Bacteria; Bacillati; Bacillota.
GACGAACGCUGGCGGCAUGCUUAACACAUGCAAGUGGAGCGACGAACCUUUUAGGGGCAAAGCCGCGAACGGGUGAGUAACACGUGGGCAACCUGCCUAUAAGACUGGGAUAACUUCGGGAAACCGAGCUAAUACCGGAUAAUUCAUAUCUACUCAUGUAGGUAUGCUGAAAGACGGUUUACGCUGUCACUUAUAGAUGGGCCCGCGGCGCAUUAGCUAGUUGGUGAGGUAACGGCUCACCAAGGCAACGAUGCGUAGCCGACCUGAGAGGGUGAUCGGCCACACUGGGACUGAGACACGGCCCAGACUCCUACGGGUGGCAG